This 496-nucleotide ribosomal RNA is filed under the name uncultured bacterium. Its description in RNAcentral is "bacterial SSU rRNA". It matches the Rfam family "Bacterial small subunit ribosomal RNA", at positions 346 to 842 of the family's 1533-position model. The record is from RNAcentral.
AGGCAGCAGUGAGGAAUAUUGGUCAAUGGACGAGAGUCUGAACCAGCCAAGUAGCGUGAAGGAUGACUGCCCUAUGGGUUGUAAACUUCUUUUAUAUGGGAAUAAAAUGUUCCACGUGUGGGAUUUUGUAUGUACCAUAUGAAUAAGGAUCGGCUAACUCCGUGCCAGCAGCCGCGGUAAUACGGAGGAUCCGAGCGUUAUCCGGAUUUAUUGGGUUUAAAGGGAGCGUAGGUGGAUUGUUAAGUCAGUUGUGAAAGUUUGCGGCUCAACCGUAAAAUUGCAGUUGAAACUGGCAGUCUUGAGUACAGUAGAGGUGGGCGGAAUUCGUGGUGUAGCGGUGAAAUGCUUAGAUAUCACGAAGAACUCCGAUUGCGAAGGCAGCUCACUGGACUGCAACUGACACUGAGGCUCGAAAGUGUGGGUAUCAAACAGGAUUAGAUACCCUGGUAGUCCACACAGUAAACGAUGAAUACUCGCUGUUUGCGAUAUACUGCAA